CUCAUGGUCUUACGGGAUUACAAUGAGAACAAUUUAAACGACUUAACGAGGAACAAUUAGAGGGCAAGUCUGGUGCCAGCAGCCGCGGUAAUUCCAGCUCUAAUAGUGUAUAUUAAAGUUGUUGCAGUUAAAAAGCUCGUAGUUGAAUUUCUGGCUGUGGCUAGUGUUGGCUUCGGUCAUGCUAGUUGCGGUCAUCCGUCUGCAAACUGUAUUAUUCAUCCUUCACUGGUUGGUGCAGGGAGUAGACAUUUUACCUUGAAAAAAUUGGAGUGUUUCAGGCAGGCAUUUGCCGGGAUACAUUAGCAUGGAAUAAUGGAAUAGGACUCGUCCUUUUUGUUGGUUAUAGGAUACGAGUAAUGAUUAAUAGGGACAGUUGGGGGCAUUAGUAUUUAAUUGUCAGAGGUGAAAUUCUUGGAUUUAUUAAAGACUAACUUAUGCGAAAGCAUUUGCCAAGGAUGUUUUCAUUAAUCGAGAACGAAAGUUAGGGGAUCAAAGACGAUCAGAUACCGUCCUAGUCUUAACUAUAAACUAUACCGACUCGGGAUCGGCCGGGCAUCUAACCUCGGUCGGCACCGUAUGAGAAAUCAAAGUCUUUAGGUUCUGGGGGGAGUAUGGUCGCAAGGCUGAAACUUAAAGGAAUUGACGGAAGGACACACCAGGUGUGGAGCCUGCGGCUUAAUUUGACCCAACACGGGGAAACUUACCAGGUUAAAACAUCGUUGGGAUUGACAGAUUGAGAGCUCUUUCUUGAUUCGAUGGGUGGUGGUGCAUGGCCGUUCUUAGUUGGUGGAGUGAUUUGUCUGGUUAAUUCCGUUAACGAACGAGACCUUAACCUGCUAACUAGUUCCUUGGUUAAUCACUGGGGUAACUUCUUAGAGGGACUAUGGGAUUGAAGCUCAUGGAAGUUUGAGGCAAUAACAGGUCUGUGAUGCCCUUAGAUAUCCUGGGCCGCACGCGCGCUACAAUGACUCUUUCAGAAAGUUCUAUCCUGGUCCGGAAGGAUUCGGGUAAUCUUUUUAGUGGGAGUCGUGUUAGGGAUCGAUCUUUGGAAUUAUAGAUCUUGGACGAGGAAUAUCUAGUAUGUGCAAGUCAUCAGCUUGUACAGAUUAUGUCCCUGUCUUUUGUACACACCGCCCGUCGCUGCUACCGAUCGAGUGGUCCGGUGAACCUUUUGAAUUGAGUUUUGCCUCGUGUGAAAUUUGAGAAGUUAAGUAAACCUUAUCACUUAGAGGAAGCAGAAGUCGUAACAAGGUU
RNAcentral lists this ribosomal RNA (1254 nucleotides) under metagenome. Its description in RNAcentral is "SSU rRNA". It matches the Rfam family "Eukaryotic small subunit ribosomal RNA", at positions 493 to 1801 of the family's 1831-position model. The record is from RNAcentral.